Molecule: ribosomal RNA, 757 nt
Filed under: Argasidae sp.
Lineage: Eukaryota; Metazoa; Arthropoda; Arachnida; Ixodida; Argasidae
Description: SSU rRNA
Rfam family: Eukaryotic small subunit ribosomal RNA
Source: RNAcentral
AUGGAAUGAGUACACUCUAAAUCCUUUAACGAGGAUCAAUUGGAGGGCAAGUCUGGUGCCAGCAGCCGCGGUAAUUCCAGCUCCAAUAGCGUAUGCUAAAGCUGCUGCGGUUAAAAAGCUCGUAGUUGGAUCUCAGUUGCGGGCGGGUGGUGCAUCUACCCGAUGUGACAGCCCGAGCUGAACAUCUUGCCUUCUAUCCUCUGGUGUCCUUCACUGGAUGCCUUUGGGUGGUCGGUGCAUUUACUUUGAAAAAAUUGGAGUGCUCAACGCAGGCGAAGUGCCUGAACACUUAUGCAUGGAAUAAUAGAACAAGACCCCGUUUCUGUUCUGUUGGUUUUUGGAAAACGAGGUAAUGAUCAAGAGGGACGGACGGGGGCAUUCGUAUUGCGGCGCUAGAGGUGAAAUUCUUGGACCGUCGCAAGACGAACUACAGCGAAAGCAUUUGCCAAGAAUGUUUUCAUUGAUCAAGAACGAAAGUUAGAGGUUCGAAGGCGAUCAGAUACCGCCCUAGUUCUAACCAUAAACGAUGCCAACCAGCAUUCCGCCUGAGUUACUCCAAUGACUCUGCGGGCAGCCUCCGGGAAACCAAAGUAUUUGGGUUCCGGGGGAAGUAUGGUUGCAAAGCUGAAACUUAAAGGAAUUGACGGAAGGGCACCACCAGGAGUGGAGCCUGCGGCUCAAUUUGACUCAACACGGGAAAACUUACCCGGCCCGGACACUGGGAGGAUUGACAGAUUGAGAGCUCUUUCUUGAUCGG